Molecule: ribosomal RNA, 279 nt
Filed under: uncultured bacterium
Lineage: Bacteria
Description: partial 16S ribosomal RNA
Rfam family: Bacterial small subunit ribosomal RNA
Source: RNAcentral
UGCCAGCCGCCGCGGUAAUACGGAGGGUGCAAGCGUUGUUCGGAAUUAUUGGGCGUAAAGAGCAUGUAGGCGGACUAUUAAGUCUGAUGUGAAAGCCCGGGGCUCAACCCCGGAAGUGCAUUGGAUACUGGUAGUCUUGAGUAUGGGAGAGGAAAGUGGAAUUCCGAGUGUAGGAGUGAAAUCCGUAGAUAUUCGGAGGAACACCAGUGGCGAAGGCGACCAUCUGGACGGGUACUGACGCUGGGACGCGAAAGCGUGGGGAGCAAACAGGAUUAGAUA